This 292-nucleotide ribosomal RNA is filed under the name uncultured Verrucomicrobiota bacterium. RNAcentral describes it as "uncultured Verrucomicrobia bacterium partial 16S ribosomal RNA". Lineage: Bacteria; Pseudomonadati; Verrucomicrobiota. The record is from RNAcentral.
GGACUACAAGGGUAUCUAAUCCCGUUUGCUCCCCUGGCCUUCGUGCCUCAGUGUCAGGAACUGUCCAGAGACCCGCCUUCGCCACUGGUCUUCCUCACGAUCUCUACGCAUUUCACUGCUACACCGUGAAUUCCAGUCUCCUCUCCAGUCCUCAAGCACGCCAGUAUCAAAUGCAGUUUCGGAGUUAAGCUCCGAAAUUUCACACCUGACUUAGCGCGCCACCUACGCACCCUUUACGCCCAAUGAAUCCGAACAACGCUUGAGACCUCUGUAUUACCGCGGCUGCUGGCAC